GGCUUGGUCAGCGGCUAAUUACUACUUUAUCAAUAUAUGACCAUAUACCUGGAAUUGACAACUUUGUUACUGAUCACUUAUCUUAUUCUCCAUUACUGGCUUUCCGCUGAGGGUCUACAGUUUAACCGAUAAUGGCUAGAUUUUUAUGUUGUAAUCAAGAUUCUUGAGUACAGUGGUCGAUUUUACUUCUUUUGCCACCUUUUACUUAAAUAUUUUAACACUACUAAUGAUAUUUUAAAUUCUGUCAGUAAUAAUUCUGGAUAACGACCUAACCUCUGUUCAAGGUUCCCCUGAUCU
Non-coding RNA from Pelobates cultripes (western spadefoot toad), 297 nucleotides. NCBI's taxonomy places the organism in Eukaryota, Metazoa, Chordata, Amphibia, Anura, Pelobatidae. The record is from the annotation of a GenBank genome assembly.